AAAAGAAACUAACAAGGAUUCCCCUAGUACGGCGAGUGAAGAGGGAAGAGCCCAAGAUUGAAAGCUGGCGUCUUCGGCGUCCGCAUUGUAAUCUCAAGAAGUGUUUUCCGUUUCGGACCAUGCCUAAGUCUCUUGGAAAAGAGCAUCAUAGAGGGUGAUAAUCCCGUACAUGGCAUGGAGCGCCCGAGACUUUGUGAUACGCUUUCUAAGAGUCGAGUUGUUUGGGAAUGCAGCUCAAAAUGGGUGGUAAAUGCCAUCUAAGGCUAAAUAUUGGGGAGAGACCGAUAGCGAACAAGUACAGUGAUGGAAAGAUGAAAAGAACUUUGAAAAGAGAGUUAAACAGUACGUGAAAUUGCCAAAAGGGAAGGGUAGGAGGUCAGAGAUGCGUUCUGGGAUUCAGCCUUGCUUUUGCUUGGUGUUUUUCCCAGAUGGCAGGCCAACGUCGGUUUUGGGCGCUGGAGAAGGGUGGAAGGAAUGUGGCACCUCUCGGGGUGUGUUAUAGCCUUCUACUGGAUACAGUGACCGAGACCGAGGACAGCAGCGUACUCGCAAGAGCGGGCCUUCGGGCACCUUUACGCUUAGGGCGUUGGCAUAAUGGCCCUCUACCACCCGUCUUG
Molecule: ribosomal RNA, 617 nt
Filed under: Ustilago sparsa
Lineage: Eukaryota; Fungi; Basidiomycota; Ustilaginomycetes; Ustilaginales; Ustilaginaceae
Description: LSU rRNA
Rfam family: Eukaryotic large subunit ribosomal RNA
Source: RNAcentral